Long non-coding RNA from Pararge aegeria (speckled wood butterfly), 195 nucleotides. RefSeq lists it as uncharacterized. The transcript is spliced from 3 exons. Lineage: Eukaryota; Metazoa; Arthropoda; Insecta; Lepidoptera; Nymphalidae. The record is from RefSeq and is a predicted model, not a curated record.
CUACAAUAUCGCGCUAAAUUUUGUUAGGUACCUAAUAAUUAAGUAGUUUUCUACCUUAAAUAGUAUUGGGAAGCUUGGCCACCUGUCAAAAUAUUUAUCAAUUACCGUGUUUACCCUGCUGACCGUUAUAGAAUCAGUUAGACUCUAUCUAGGACAUUAUGGAAAUUUAUCCUGCAGAGUCCCCGAGUUGGCUGG